RNAcentral lists this ribosomal RNA (464 nucleotides) under uncultured bacterium. Its description in RNAcentral is "partial 16S ribosomal RNA". It matches the Rfam family "Bacterial small subunit ribosomal RNA", at positions 339 to 795 of the family's 1533-position model. The record is from RNAcentral.
CUACGGGGUGCUGCAGUGGGGAAUAUUGCACAAUGGGCGCAAGCCUGAUGCAGCCAUGCCGCGUGUAUGAAGAAGGCCUUCGGGUUGUAAAGUACUUUCAGCGGGGAGGAAGGGAGUAAAGUUAAUACCUUUGCUCAUUGACGUUACCCGCAGAAGAAGCACCGGCUAACUCCGUGCCAGCAGCCGCGGUAAUACGGAGGGUGCAAGCGUUAAUCGAAAUUACUGGGCGUAAAGCGCACGCAGGCGGUUUGUUAAGUCAGAUGUGAAAUCCCCGGGCUCAACCUGGGAACUGCAUCUGAUACUGGCAAGCUUGAGUCUCGUAGAGGGGGGUAGAAUUCCAGGUGUAGCGGUGAAAUGCGUAGAGAUCUGGAGGAAUACCGGUGGCGAAGGCGGCCCCCUGGACGAAGACUGGCGCUCAGGUGCGAAAGCGUGGGGAGCAAACAGGAUUAGAUACCCGCGUAGUC